GGGAUGGAGGUGACCUUGGAGCAGCACUUGGAAGACACAAUGAAGAAUCCCUCCAUUGUUGGAGUCCUGUACACAGAUUCACAAGGACUUAAUCUGGGUUGCCGUGGGACCCUUUCAGAUGAGCAUGCUGGAGUGAUAUCUGUUCUAGCCCAGCAAACAGCUAAGCUAACCUCUGACCCCACUGAUAUUCCUGUGGUGUGUCUAGAAUCAGAUAAUGGGAACAUUAUGAUCCAGAAACGUGAUGGCAUCACAGUGGCAGUGCACAAAAUGGCCUCUUGACACCUCAUAUCUGUUCUUCAGCAGCCUGUCACAGGAACUCGAUCCUACCUAUGUUAAUUACCUUAUAGAACUACUAAAGUUCCAGUAGUUAGGCCAUUCAUUUAAUGUGCAUUGGACCCUUUUCUAUUUAUUUAAGAGUCAAUUGCUUUCUAAUGCUCUAUGGACCGACUAUCAAGAUAUUAGUAAGAAAGGAUCAUGUUUUGAAGCAGCAGGUCCAGGUCACUUUGUAUAUAGAAUUUUGCUAUAUUCAAUACAUCUGGUUGGAGGAAAAAAAAAAAAAA
Molecule: RNA transcript, 560 nt
Organism: Piliocolobus tephrosceles (Ugandan red Colobus)
Lineage: Eukaryota; Metazoa; Chordata; Mammalia; Primates; Cercopithecidae
Gene name: ragulator complex protein LAMTOR5 pseudogene
Exons: 1
Source: RefSeq, a predicted model, not a curated record